GCUUAGCCCUCAACAUAGACAGUAAAACCACAAUACUGUCCGCCAGAGAACUACAAGUGAAAAACUAGAAACUCCAAGGACUUGGCGGUGCUCCAUACCGACCUAGAGGAGCCUGUCCUAUAAUCGAUAAUCCACGUUUCACCUCACCACCUCUUGCAAGUCAGCCUAUAUACUGCCGUCGUCAGCUUACCUUAUGAAAGAAGCAAAGUAAGCAAAAUAGUAAACAACAAAAACGUCAGGUCAAUGUGUAGCAUAUGGGGUGGAAGAGAUGGGCUACACUCUCUACCACAGAACACACGAACAGUACAAUGAAAUAAGUACUCAAAGGCGGAUUUAGUAGUAAGACAAACAAGAAACUUUGACUGAAAUACGCUCUGGAGCGCGCACACACCGCCC
RNAcentral lists this ribosomal RNA (396 nucleotides) under Trachylepis perrotetii. RNAcentral's name for it is "partial 12S ribosomal RNA". It matches the Rfam family "Bacterial small subunit ribosomal RNA", at positions 830 to 1395 of the family's 1533-position model. Lineage: Eukaryota; Metazoa; Chordata; Lepidosauria; Squamata; Scincidae. The record is from RNAcentral.